Molecule: small RNA, 108 nt
Filed under: Marmota monax (woodchuck)
Lineage: Eukaryota; Metazoa; Chordata; Mammalia; Rodentia; Sciuridae
Source: RNAcentral
ACCAGGUGAGGGGGUGCACGCCUGUAAUCCCAGCUACUUGGGAGGCUGAGACAGGAGGAUCACAAGUUUAGAAACCAGCCCAGGCAACUUAGAGAGGCCCUGUCUCAA